Molecule: ribosomal RNA, 486 nt
Filed under: Smicrophylax sp. A002
Lineage: Eukaryota; Metazoa; Arthropoda; Insecta; Trichoptera; Hydropsychidae
Description: eukaryotic LSU rRNA
Source: RNAcentral
AUCAGGGGUAAACCUGUGGAACUCGAACGAGCGAACGGGGAGAUUCAACGCUCUUCCGUCGGGGUCCGCGGUUCGGCUCAGACGGCGCGCCGUUCGCGGUGCGCUCGCCUGCGUCGGGUCGCAGAAAGGCCCUCGGAGUGCGCGCACUUCUCCCUUAGUAUAACACCGCGACCCGUCAGAUCUUUUCGAGGGUCGAACGCGCCGUGCGGUUGUCCCGUUUCGUCUCUUCGCGGUGACGGAGCGGAGCCGCGGCGUCGCGACUCUCGUCCGACGGUAGAGAACGAGGAUCGAGUCCGCUACCUUCUCGAAGGUUGCGUCCGUGGCGUUGCAGCGGCGCUCCCCGCACGGACCUCGGCGCGCAAGCGUCGUUGGCUCCGGGCGUCGGCGAGCACCAGGGCGUCGCCCCUUAGCGACGCCGUCUCGGACGGGACUCGUCCCGGUCGGCGGUGGUUUUGUUUCGGGCACUCACAGGACCCGUCUUGAAAC